RNAcentral lists this ribosomal RNA (253 nucleotides) under uncultured bacterium. Its description in RNAcentral is "partial 16S ribosomal RNA". It matches the Rfam family "Bacterial small subunit ribosomal RNA", at positions 524 to 776 of the family's 1533-position model. The record is from RNAcentral.
UACGUAGGGGGCAAGCGUUGUCCGGAAUCAUUGGGCGUAAAGAACGUGUAGGCGGCCAGAUAGGUCCGUUGUGAAAACUCGAGGCUCAACCUCGAGACGCCGAUGGAAACCAUCUGGCUAGAGUCCGGAAGAGGAGAGUGGAAUUCCCGGUGUAGCGGUGAAAUGCGCAGAUAUCGGGAAGAACACCUGCGGCGAAGGCGGGUUGCUGGGCCGACACUGACGCUGAUGCGCGAAAGCCAGGGGAGCGAACGGG